AGCAGCCGCGGUAAUUCCAGCUCCAAUAGCGUAUAUUAAAGUUGUUGCAGUUAAAAAACUCGUAGUUGAAUUUCGAGAUUAAUAUGUUGGUCGUGCUUAUGUACGUACUUGCAUUAUUGAUUUCUCCCUUCUGAUGAACCAUGAUGCCAUUAAUUUGGUGUUGUGGGGAAUCAGGACUGUUACUUUGAAAAAAUUAGAGUGUUUAAAGCAGGCUAACGCUUGAAUACAUUAGCAUGGAAUAAUGGAAUAGGACGUUCGAUCCUAUUUUGUUGGUUUCUAGGAUUGACGUAAUGAUUAAUAGGGAUAGUUGGGGGCAUUAGUAUUCAAUUGUCAGAGGUGAAAUUCUUGGAUUUAUUGAAGACUAACUACUGCGAAAGCAUUUGCCAAGGAUGUUUUCAUUAAUCAAGAACGAAAGUUAGGGGAUCGAAGACGAUCAGAUACCGUCGUAGUCUUAACCAUAAACUAUGCCGACUAGGGAUCGGAUGAUGUUAAUUUUUAAUGACUCAUUCGGCGCCUUAAC
Molecule: ribosomal RNA, 520 nt
Filed under: uncultured Glomus
Lineage: Eukaryota; Fungi; Glomeromycota; Glomeromycetes; Glomerales; Glomeraceae
Description: SSU rRNA
Rfam family: Eukaryotic small subunit ribosomal RNA
Source: RNAcentral